AGGACGUGUGGUUCUAUUUUGUUGGUUUCUAGGACCGCCGUAAUGAUUAAUAGGGACAGUCGGGGGCAUCAGUAUUCAAUUGUCAGAGGUGAAAUUCUUGGAUUUAUUGAAGACUAACUACUGCGAAAGCAUUUGCCAAGGAUGUUUUCAUUAAUCAGGAACGAAAGUUAGGGGAUCGAAGACGAUCAGAUACCGUCGUAGUCUUAACCAUAAACUAUGCCGACUAGGGAUCGGACGAUGUUAUUUUUUGACGCGUUCGGCACCUUACGAGAAAUCAAAGUGCUUGGGCUCCAGGGGGAGUAUGGUCGCAAGGCUGAAACUUAAAGAAAUUGACGGAAGGGCACCACCAGGGGUGGAGCCUGCGGCUUAAUUUGACUCAACACGGGGAAACUCACCAGGUCCAGACACAAUGAGGAUUGACAGAUUGAGAGCUCUUUCUUGAUUUUGUGGGUGGUGGUGCAUGGCCGUUCUUAGUUGGUGGAGUGAUUUGUCUGCUUAAUUGCGAUAACGAACGAGACCUUAACCUGCUAAAUAGACCGUAUUGCUCUGGCAGUACGCCGUCUUCUUAGAGGGACUAUCGGCUCAAGCCGAUGGAAGUUUGAGGCAAUAACAGGUCUGUGAUGCCCUUAGAUGUUCUGAGCCGCACGCGCGCUACACUGACGAAGCCAGGCGGAGUACUUCCCUUGGCCGGAAGGCCCGGGUUCAUCUGAUAAUUAUUCUU
Molecule: ribosomal RNA, 721 nt
Filed under: uncultured fungus
Lineage: Eukaryota; Fungi
Description: SSU rRNA
Rfam family: Eukaryotic small subunit ribosomal RNA
Source: RNAcentral